RNAcentral lists this ribosomal RNA (666 nucleotides) under Helvella sp. Its description in RNAcentral is "partial large subunit ribosomal RNA". It matches the Rfam family "Eukaryotic large subunit ribosomal RNA", at positions 119 to 796 of the family's 3401-position model. The record is from RNAcentral. Lineage: Eukaryota; Fungi; Ascomycota; Pezizomycetes; Pezizales; Helvellaceae.
AAUCUGGGGUCCCCGACCCCCGAGUUGUAAUUUGGAGAGGCAUCUCCGGGGGGGAGCGCUGGCCCAUGUUCCUUGGAACAGGACGUCGCAAAGGGUGAGAAUCCCGUGCCAGGCCGGCUGCCUCCUCCCGAGUGGAGGGCCUUCGACGAGUCGAGUUGUUUGGGAAUGCAGCUCCAAGUGGGUGGUAAAUUUCACCUAAAGCUAAAUACCGGCGGGAGACCGAUAGCGCACAAGUAGAGUGAUCGAAAGAUGAAAAGCACUUUGAAAAUAGAGUCAAAAAGUACGUGAAAUUGUUGAAGGGGAAGCGCUUGAGACCAGACUCAGACCCGAGCAAACACCGCGCCCCUCGGGGCCGUGCAAUUGCCUGGGGCUGGGCCAGCAUCAGUUGGCGUGGCGGGACAAAGGCGCGGGGAAUGUGGCUCCCCUCGGGGAGUGUUAUUAGGCCCGCGCUCAAUGCCGCCGCCGCCGACUGAGGACCGCGCCUCGGCUAGGAUGCUGGCUUAAUGGCCUUCAGCGACCCGUCUUGAAACACGGACCAAGGAGUCUAACAUCUAUGCGAGUGUUUGGGCGUCAAACCCUUGCGCGGAAUGAAAGUGAGCGGAGGUGGGAACCCCUUCGCAGGGCGCACCAUCGACCGAUCCUGAUGUCUUCGGAUGGAUUUGAGUA